GGUGAACGCUGGCGGCGGGCCUAAUACAUGCAAGUCGAACGAACAGACGAUGAGCUUUCGCCUCUGACGGUAGCGGCUGACGGGUGGGUAAGACGUGGAUAACCUACCUAUUAUACUGGGGGAACUUCGUGGAACCAGAUCCACUACCGCCGAAUAUAUUUAACCGCAUAAUUCAAGAGUUCAAGACGGUUUUGCUGUCACUUAGAGAUGGAUCCGCGUCGGAUUAGCUAGUUGGUAAGGUAACGGCUUACCAAGGCGACGAUGCGUAGCCGAGCUGAGAGGGUGAUCGGCCACACUGGAACUGAGACACGGUCCAGACUCCUACGGGAGGCAGCAGUAGGGAAUCUUCCACAAUGGGCGCAAGCCUGAUCGAGCCAUACCGCGUGAGUGAAGAAGGUCUUCGGGUUGUAAAGCUCUGUUGUUAGGGAAGAAAAACUGUGUAAGUAACUCUGCAUGUCUUGACGGUACCCAAUCAGAAAGCAACGGCUAACUACGUG
This 497-nucleotide ribosomal RNA is filed under the name uncultured bacterium. Its description in RNAcentral is "partial 16S ribosomal RNA". It matches the Rfam family "Bacterial small subunit ribosomal RNA", at positions 28 to 507 of the family's 1533-position model. The record is from RNAcentral.